GCAAUCAGUGGAUGCCUUGGCAGUAAAAGCCGAAGAAGGACGUUUCAAGCCUGCGAAAGUUAUCGGGGAGGUGGCAAGAACUUAUGAUCCGGUAGUGUCCGAAUGGGGAAACCUAACCAGAUUUAUCUGGUUGUUACGCUUUGAUUUAUCAAAGUGUUUCGGGAACUUGGGGAACUGAAAUAUCUAAGUACCCAAAGGAAAAGAAAUCGAAUGAGAACCCCUUAGUAAGCGACGAGCGAACAGGGGCGAGUCUAAACCACGAAUUUAUUCGUGGGGUUGCAGGGCCAGACACAACUUAGUUUUUUCGAUAGAAGAACAAUUUGGAAUAGUUGACCAUAGGGGGUGAGAGUCCCGUAUUCGAAAUUGGAAAAACUAAAGUCUGGUACCUAAGUAAAUCUGGAGACGGCAAACUCUAGAUCGAAUCCGGGCCGACCACGGUCCAAGACUAAAUACUUUUACUGACCGAUAGUGAACUAGUACCGCGAGGGAAAGGUGAAAAGAAGGGCGAGUAGCCCUAUUAAAAGAUCCUGAAACUGAUUGCUAACAAACAGACGGAGUCUGCCGCAAGGUGGAUGACGUCGUGCCUAUUGAAGAAUGAGCCGGCGAGUUACUCAACACAGCAAGGUUAACCGAUAAGUUUCGGGAAGCCGAAGGGAAACCAAGUCUUAACAGGGCGUGUAGUUGUGUUGUGUAGACCCGAAACCAGGUGAGCUAACCAUGAGCAGGCUGAAGGUUGGAGAAAUCCAACUGGAGGGCCGAACAGGUUAAUAUGCCUAACGAACCUGGAGAUAGCUGGUUCUCCUCGAAACAUGUUUUGGCAUGGCCUCGUAUUUACGGUAUGGGGGGUAGAGUGCUGAAUGGACUUUGCGAAUAAAAUCGUAAUUUCCAACCAAACUCCGAAUACCCAUAUCAAUUGUACGGGAGUCAGUGGCUGGGGGCUAAGCUCCAGUCGCAAAAGGGAAACAUCCCAGACCCUCAAAUAAGGUCUCUAAAUAUAUAUUAAGUGGUAAAGGACGUGUCAUUUCUCAGACACCUAGGAGGUCGGCUCAGAAGCAGCCAUCCUUGAAAGAAAGCGUAACAGCUCACUAGCCGAGAGAUACACGGCCGAAGACGUAACGAGGCUAAAUAUAUUACCGAAUUUAGGGAUUCGCAUCGCAAGAUGUGAGUGGUAGAGGAGCAUGAGUAGCGUAAUAAAGUGAGAAUCUUUAUAUCCGAAUGAGCAAGGUUUCCUACGCAACGUUCGUCGACGUAGGGUAAGGCGACCCUUAGGUGAGGCCAUAAUGGCGUAGCCGAUGGAUUACUGGUCGAUAUUCCAGUCCUUGUCUGUAAUCGUUAUUAACUGGGGCGGGACGAAGUUGGAUAGUCUGGGCGAUGUGUUGAAGAUACAUUCGCUUAAGCAGUUAGUCAGUCACUAUUGGCAAAUCCGUAGUGGCGUUUAUACGAGCUGUGAACACGAGUCUGCCGUAAGGUGGGCAAGUCAGAUGAUUUCAGUUUCCGAGAAAAGCGUCGCAGUGAGAGUGCAGAUAAUCCGUACCACAAACCGACACCGGUGCUCUGGUCGAGUAGACCAAGGAUAGCGAGAGAACUCUUCUUAAGGAACUCGGCAAAUUAGCUAGGCGUAAGUUCUACGAGAUGCCUUGCCCUGAGCAAUAUCAGGGCUACAACAAAAGAUUACAAAGGGGCUGUUUAACAAAAACACAGGUCUGUGCAAAAGAGAAAUCUUAAGUAUACAGGCUGAAACCUGCCCAGUGCCGGAAGGUUAAAUGCGUGGCUGAUCCAUCGCAAGAUGGCUAGGCUGCAAUUGAAGCCCCGGUGAACGGCAGCAGUAACUAUAACUGUCGACUAUAGGGCAGUUAAUAAAUUUGGCUAUAUGCUGGAACAACUCAUGUAUCCGACAGUACUCGAAAGAGUGAAAAUCUGUUCGGUGGAGUCAAUCAGCAGGAAAGA
RNAcentral lists this ribosomal RNA (1947 nucleotides) under Candidatus Collierbacteria bacterium GW2011_GWB2_42_12. RNAcentral describes it as "bacterial LSU rRNA". It matches the Rfam family "Bacterial large subunit ribosomal RNA", at positions 17 to 1999 of the family's 2925-position model. The record is from RNAcentral. Lineage: Bacteria; Candidatus Collieribacteriota.